CCAGACUCCUACGGGAGGCAGCAGUGGGGAAUAUUGCACAAUGGGGGAAACCCUGAUGCAGCGACGCCGCGUGAGUGAAGAAGUAAUUCGUUACGUAAAGCUCUAUCAGCAGGGAAGAAACACUGACCUUACGGUCAGCAGACGGUACCUGAGCAAGAAGCCCCGGCUAACUACGUGCCAGCAGCCGCGGUAAUACGUAGGGGGCAAGCGUUAUCCGGGUUUACUGGGUGUAAAGGGAGCGUAGACGGUGCGCCAAGUCUGGAGUGAAAUGCCGGAGCUUAACCGCGGGACUGCUUUGGAAACUGGCGAGCUAGAGUGCAGGAGGGGUAAGCGGAAUUCCUAGUG
RNAcentral lists this ribosomal RNA (345 nucleotides) under uncultured bacterium. Its description in RNAcentral is "bacterial SSU rRNA". It matches the Rfam family "Bacterial small subunit ribosomal RNA", at positions 331 to 675 of the family's 1533-position model. The record is from RNAcentral.